CGGCAGCUUACACAUGCAGUCGAGCGGAGAGAGGUAGCUUGCUACUGAUCUUAGCGGCGGACGGGUGAGUAAUGCUUAGGAACCUGCCUAUUAGUGGGGGACAACAUUUCGAAAGGAAUGCUAAUACCGCAUACGUCCUACGGGAGAAAGCAGGGGAUCUUCGGACCUUGCGCUAAUAGAUGAGCCUAAGUCGGAUUAGCUAGUUGGUGGGGUAAAGGCCUACCAAGGCGACGAUCUGUAGCGGGUCUGAGAGGAUGAUCCGCCACACUGGGACUGAGACACGGCCCAGACUCCUACGGGAGGCAGCAGUGGGGAAUAUUGGACAAUGGGCGCAAGCCUGAUCCAGCCAUGCCGCGUGUGUGAAGAAGGCCUUAUGGUUGUAAAGCACUUUAAGCGAGGAGGAGGCUACUUUAGUUAAUACCUAGAGAUAGUGGACGUUACUCGCAGAAUAAGCACCGGCUAACUCUGUGCCAGCAGCCGCGGUAAUACAGAGGGUGCAAGCGUUAAUCGGAUUUACUGGGCGUAAAGCGCGCGUAGGCGGCUAAUUAAGUCAAAUGUGAAAUCCCCGAGCUUAACUUGGGAAUUGCAUUCGAUACUGGUUAGCUAGAGUGUGGGAGAGGAUGGUAGAAUUCCAGGUGUAGCGGUGAAAUGCGUAGAGAUCUGGAGGAAUACCGAUGGCGAAGGCAGCCAUCUGGCCUAACACUGACGCUGAGGUGCGAAAGCAUGGGGAGCAAACAGGAUUAGAUACCCUGGUAGUCCAUGCCGUAAACGAUGUCUACUAGCCGUUGGGGCCUUUGAGGCUUUAGUGGCGCAGCUAACGCGAUAAGUAGACCGCCUGGGGAGUACGGUCGCAAGACUAAAACUCAAAUGAAUUGACGGGGGCCCGCACAAGCGGUGGAGCAUGUGGUUUAAUUCGAUGCAACGCGAAGAACCUUACCUGGCCUUGACAUAGUAAGAACUUUCCAGAGAUGGAUUGGUGCCUUCGGGAACUUACAUACAGUGCUGCAUGGCUGUCGUCAGCUCGUGUCG
This 1029-nucleotide ribosomal RNA is filed under the name uncultured Gammaproteobacteria bacterium. RNAcentral describes it as "bacterial SSU rRNA". It matches the Rfam family "Bacterial small subunit ribosomal RNA", at positions 40 to 1067 of the family's 1533-position model. The record is from RNAcentral. Lineage: Bacteria; Pseudomonadati; Pseudomonadota; Gammaproteobacteria.